GCCCAUAUAGCUCAGGGGUCAGAGCACUUCCUUGGUAAGGAAGAGGUCGGCGGUUCAAUUCCGCUUAUGGGCU
Non-coding RNA from Helicobacter bizzozeronii, 73 nucleotides. The record is from Rfam. NCBI's taxonomy places the organism in Bacteria, Pseudomonadati, Campylobacterota, Epsilonproteobacteria, Campylobacterales, Helicobacteraceae.